RNAcentral lists this unclassified non-coding RNA (248 nucleotides) under plant metagenome. RNAcentral describes it as "partial contains small subunit ribosomal RNA, internal transcribed spacer 1, and 5.8S ribosomal RNA". The stretch from base 1 to 51 matches the Rfam family "Eukaryotic small subunit ribosomal RNA", at positions 1781 to 1831 of the family's 1831-position model. The record is from RNAcentral.
GGAAAAAGUCGUAACAAGGUCUCCGUAGGUGAACCUGCGGAGGGAUCAUUACAGAGUUCAUGCCCUACCGGGUAGAUCUCCCACCCUAUGUUAUUAUUACUUUGCUGCUUUGGCGGGCCGUUAGGCUCCGGCCCGACUACCGGCCCCGGCUGGUAAGCGCCCGCCAGAGGACCCAAAACCCUGAAUAUUAGUGUCGUCUGAGUACUAUAUAAUAGUUAAAACUUUCAACAACGGAUCUCUUGGUUCUG